CCUACGGGAGGCAGCAGUGGGGGAUAUUGCACAAUGAGGGAAACCUUGAUGCAGCGACGCCGCGUGCGUGAAGAAGUUUUUCGGUAUGUAAAGCGCUGUCAGCAGGGAAGAAAAUGACCAUACCUGACCAAUCACCCCCUGCUAACUCCGUGCCAGCAGCCGCGGGAAUACGGUGUGCGAAAGCGUUAUCCGGAUUUACUGGGGGGAAAGGGAGCGGAGAAGUUUAUGUAAAUCUGGAGUGAAAGCCCGGGGCCCAACCCCGGGACUGCUUUGGAAACUGGGGAACUGGAGUCUAGGAGGGGCAGGCGGAAUUCCUGGUGAAGCGGUGAAAUGCGUAGAUAUAAGGAGGAACACCGGCGGCGAAGGCGGCCUGCUGGAUUGAAACUGACGUUGAGGGUCGAAAGCGUGGGGAGCAAACAGGAUUAGAUACCCUGGUAGUC
This 440-nucleotide ribosomal RNA is filed under the name uncultured bacterium. Its description in RNAcentral is "partial 16S ribosomal RNA". It matches the Rfam family "Bacterial small subunit ribosomal RNA", at positions 338 to 795 of the family's 1533-position model. The record is from RNAcentral.